GACGAACGCUGGCGGCGUGCUUAACACAUGCAAGUCGAACGGAAAGGCCCUGCUUUUGUGGGGUGCUCGAGUGGCGAACGGGUGAGUAACACGUGAGUAACCUGCCCUUGACUUUGGGAUAACUUCAGGAAACUGGGGCUAAUACCGGAUAGGAGCUCCUGCUGCAGGGUGGGGGUGGGAAAGUUUCGGCGGUUGGGGAUGGACUCGCGGCUUAUCAGCUUGUUGGUGGGGUAGUGGCUUACCAAGGCUUUGACGGGUAGCCGGCCUGAGAGGGUGAGCGGCCACAUUGGGACUGAGAUGCGGCCCAGCCUCCUACGGGAGGCAGCAGUGCGGUAUAUUGCACAAUGGGCGGAGGCCUGACGCAGCAACGCCGCGUGCGGGAUGACGGCCUUCGGGUUGUAAACCGCUUUCGCCUGUGACGAAGCGUGAGUGACGGUAAUGGGUAAAGAAGCACCGGCUAACUACGUG
This 468-nucleotide ribosomal RNA is filed under the name uncultured bacterium. Its description in RNAcentral is "partial 16S ribosomal RNA". It matches the Rfam family "Bacterial small subunit ribosomal RNA", at positions 28 to 507 of the family's 1533-position model. The record is from RNAcentral.